Molecule: ribosomal RNA, 1223 nt
Filed under: Pseudomonas brassicacearum
Lineage: Bacteria; Pseudomonadati; Pseudomonadota; Gammaproteobacteria; Pseudomonadales; Pseudomonadaceae
Description: bacterial SSU rRNA
Rfam family: Bacterial small subunit ribosomal RNA
Source: RNAcentral
UGCAAGUCGAGCGGUAGAGAGGUGCUUGCACCUCUUGAGAGCGGCGGACGGGUGAGUAAAGCCUAGGAAUCUGCCUGGUAGUGGGGGAUAACGCUCGGAAACGGACGCUAAUACCGCAUACGUCCUACGGGAGAAAGCAGGGGACCUUCGGGCCUUGCGCUAUCAGAUGAGCCUAGGUCGGAUUAGCUAGUUGGUGAGGUAAUGGCUCACCAAGGCGACGAUCCGUAACUGGUCUGAGAGGAUGAUCAGUCACACUGGAACUGAGACACGGUCCAGACUCCUACGGGAGGCAGCAGUGGGGAAUAUUGGACAAUGGGCGAAAGCCUGAUCCAGCCAUGCCGCGUGUGUGAAGAAGGUCUUCGGAUUGUAAAGCACUUUAAGUUGGGAGGAAGGGCAUUAACCUAAUACGUUAGUGUUUUGACGUUACCGACAGAAUAAGCACCGGCUAACUCUGUGCCAGCAGCCGCGGUAAUACAGAGGGUGCAAGCGUUAAUCGGAAUUACUGGGCGUAAAGCGCGCGUAGGUGGUUCGUUAAGUUGGAUGUGAAAUCCCCGGGCUCAACCUGGGAACUGCAUUCAAAACUGUCGAGCUAGAGUAUGGUAGAGGGUGGUGGAAUUUCCUGUGUAGCGGUGAAAUGCGUAGAUAUAGGAAGGAACACCAGUGGCGAAGGCGACCACCUGGACUGAUACUGACACUGAGGUGCGAAAGCGUGGGGAGCAAACAGGAUUAGAUACCCUGGUAGUCCACGCCGUAAACGAUGUCAACUAGCCGUUGGGAGCCUUGAGCUCUUAGUGGCGCAGCUAACGCAUUAAGUUGACCGCCUGGGGAGUACGGCCGCAAGGUUAAAACUCAAAUGAAUUGACGGGGGCCCGCACAAGCGGUGGAGCAUGUGGUUUAAUUCGAAGCAACGCGAAGAACCUUACCAGGCCUUGACAUCCAAUGAACUUUCCAGAGAUGGAUUGGUGCCUUCGGGAACAUUGAGACAGGUGCUGCAUGGCCUGUCGUCAGCUCGUGUCGUGAGAUGUUGGGUUAAGUCCCGUAACGAGCGCAACCCUUGUCCUUAGUUACCAGCACGUCAUGGUGGGCACUCUAAGGAGACUGCCGGUGACAAACCGGAGGAAGGUGGGGAUGACGUCAAGUUCAUCAUGGCCCUUACGGCCUGGGCUUCACGUGCUACAAUCGAUCGGUACAUAGGGUUGCCAAGCCGCUAGGUGGACUUAUCC